This 429-nucleotide ribosomal RNA is filed under the name Gemmatimonadota bacterium. RNAcentral's name for it is "Gemmatimonadetes bacterium partial 16S ribosomal RNA". It matches the Rfam family "Bacterial small subunit ribosomal RNA", at positions 355 to 776 of the family's 1533-position model. Lineage: Bacteria; Pseudomonadati; Gemmatimonadota. The record is from RNAcentral.
UAGGGAAUCUUCGGCAAUGGACGAAAGUCUGACCGAGCAACGCCGCGUGAGUGAAGAAGGUGUCCGGAUCGUAAAACUCUGUUGUUAGAGAAGAACAAGGACGUUAGUAACUGAACGUCCCCUGACGGUAUCUAACCAGAAAGCCACGGCUAACUACGUGCCAGCAGCCGCGGUAAUACGUAGGUGGCAAGCGUUGUCCGGAUUUAUUGGGCGUAAAGCGAGCGCAGGCGGUUUCUUAAGUCUGUUGUGAAAGCCCCCGGCUCAACCGGGGAGGGUCAUUGGAAGCUGGGAGACUUGAGUGCAGAAGAGGAGGGUGGAAUUCCAUGUGUAGCGGUGGAAUGCGUAGAUAUAUGGAGGAACACCAGUGGCGAAGGCGGCUCUCUGGUCUGUAACUGACGCUGAGGCUCGAAAGCGUGGGGAGCAAACAGG